ACUCAAAGGAAUUGACGGGGACCCGCACAAGCGGUGGAGCAUGUGGUUUAAUUCGAAGCAACGCGAAGAACCUUACCAGGGUUUGACAUACCAAUGAUACCUUUAGAGAUAAAGGGUUCCUUCGGGACAUUGGAUACAGGUGGUGCAUGGUUGUCGUCAGCUCGUGUCGUGAGAUGUUGGGUUAAGUCCCGCAACGAGCGCAACCCUUAUCGCUAGUUACUAACAUUAAGUUGAGGACUUUAGCGAGACUGCCAGUGAUAAACUGGAGGAAGGCGGGGAUGAGGUCAAAUCAUCAUGCCCCUUAUACCCUGGGCUACACACGUGCUACAAUGGAUGGUACAAAGAGAAGCGAAACGGUGACGUCAAGCAAACCUCAUAAAGCCAUUCUCAGUUCGGAUUGUAGUCUGCAACUCGACUACAUGAAGAUGGAAUCGCUAGUAAUCGCGGAUCAGAAUGCCGCGGUGAAUACGUUCCCGGGUCUUGCACACACCGCCCGU
Molecule: ribosomal RNA, 497 nt
Filed under: uncultured bacterium
Lineage: Bacteria
Description: bacterial SSU rRNA
Rfam family: Bacterial small subunit ribosomal RNA
Source: RNAcentral